RNAcentral lists this ribosomal RNA (460 nucleotides) under uncultured bacterium. RNAcentral's name for it is "partial 16S ribosomal RNA". It matches the Rfam family "Bacterial small subunit ribosomal RNA", at positions 338 to 795 of the family's 1533-position model. The record is from RNAcentral.
ACUACGGGAGUCUGCAGUGAGGAAUAUUGGUCAAUGGGCGCGAGCCUGAACCAGCCAAGUAGCGUGAAGGAUGACUGCCCUACGGGUUGUAAACUUCUUUUAUAAAGGAAUAAAGUGAGGCACGUGUGCCUUUUUGUAUGUACUUUAUGAAUAAGGAUCGGCUAACUCCGUGCCAGCAGCCGCGGUAAUACGGAGGAUCCGAGUGUUAGCCGGCUUUAAUGGGUUUAAAGGGAGCGUAGUUGGGUUGUUAAGUCAGUUGUGAAAGUUUGCGGGCCAACCGUAAAAUUGCAAUUGAUAAUGGCAGUCUUGAGUACAGUUGAGGUAGGCGGAAUUCGUGGUGUAGCGGUGAAAUGCUUAGAUAUCACGCAGAACUCCGAUUGCGAAGGCAGCUUACUAAACUGCCACUGACAUUGAUGCUCGAAAGUGUGGGUAUCAAACAGGAUUAGAUACCCCGGUAGUC